CUAAACUAAGGGCCUCGCCGGUGGUCCGGUCGAAGGAGGCUAAGCAAUGGCCGACGGCUGUUACACAGAAACGGUAAAUAAGGAAAACUGAAACCUAGUUGUGUAUUUAACGUUGUCUGAACGGUGAGGUAAAGUCUCAUCCGUUCAUCACGAUGGAAGACUCGGCUUCUCGCCAUGAAGGUGUUGUAUCUGGCUCCUCACGCCCAAGUCGGGCCAGCGGAACUGCUGAGGAAGAAGCGGACCCUGGAUGGGUGAACAAGCUGACUGAAGAAGCUUACCAACUUGUGAAGGAUACCCGAUUCCCAGGAGUCAGAGGCAAAAGGAAACGAGUGAAGUUGCUGGAAAGACAACCAACUGCACGGGACAGGCCAAGGGAACCAGGUGAACAAGUGUCUACACCUGACUAUUGUGAAACAGUGGAUAUUUCCUGCUUAGACAAAACUGAAACUACGACAGAAAGGGAGCAAAGAGAUGAUCCAUCUUGGACAUUAGGAAAUCUGGGUGCACAAAUGUCUACCCCUUACUACUCUGAAACAAUGGAUAUUUCCUGCCUUGACCAAACUGCAGGUAUUCCAGAAAGGGAGCAAAGAGAUGAUCCAUCUUGGACAUUGGGAAAUCAGGGUACACAGUUGUAUCCAGAUGACUAUUGUGAAAGAGCGGAACUUUCCAGUUUUGUGCAAACUGAAGGUAUGAAAGAAAGCUAAGAGAUGAUACAUCUUGGACAUUAGGAAAUCAGGGUAACUGGAUUAGAAUUGAGCUGUGGAUUGAAAGAAAUACCUUUGACAUGCCCUACACAGUGUUA
This 802-nucleotide long non-coding RNA is filed under the name Chinchilla lanigera (long-tailed chinchilla). RNAcentral's name for it is "lncRNA (ENSCLAG00000026975.1)". The record is from RNAcentral. Lineage: Eukaryota; Metazoa; Chordata; Mammalia; Rodentia; Chinchillidae.